UACGGAGGGUGCAAGCGUUGUUCGGAUUUAUUGGGCGUAAAGGGCGUGUAGGCGGUUCGUUAAGUCUGAUGUGAAAGCCCCGGGCUCAACCCCGGGAAGUGCAUUGGAAACUGGCGAACUUGAGUACGGGAGAGGGCAGUGGAAUUCCGUAGUGUAGGAGUGAAAUCCGUAGAUAUUAGGAGGAACACCGGUGGCGGAAGGCGGCUGCCUGGACCGAUGACUGACGCUGAGACGCGAAAGCGUGGGGAGCAAACAGG
Molecule: ribosomal RNA, 257 nt
Filed under: uncultured bacterium
Lineage: Bacteria
Description: partial 16S ribosomal RNA
Rfam family: Bacterial small subunit ribosomal RNA
Source: RNAcentral